Long non-coding RNA from Lycium ferocissimum, 672 nucleotides. RefSeq lists it as uncharacterized. The transcript is spliced from 2 exons. Lineage: Eukaryota; Viridiplantae; Streptophyta; Magnoliopsida; Solanales; Solanaceae. The record is from RefSeq and is a predicted model, not a curated record.
UUUCUCUCACAAACAUACAUAAAUAUACAUUCUGAGCUCCUUUCUUCCUUGGUUAGGCAUAUAAGGAUGAGGUAGAAAGGGAUGAGAGUAUUGGGAAGUUGUUAGGUGUGGGUGGGGUGGAAAGAUUUUACCUAUUUAUUCUUUCCAACCUAUUUUUGGUUUGGAAAAAUAAGAAAAAGAGUUAAAUCUUUCCUACUCCUCCCAUACCCAUGACUUCCACUAACUUCUCCCUUUCUUGAUUUCUCAUCUGUUUGCAAACUUCAUCACUUGCUUUUCUUUUUGUUCAGAAGAUUAUAAUUGUGAUAACUGCUGAUUUAUUAUUAAUAUGAUAGAUUAACUGCUGAUUUAUUAUUAAUAUGAUAGAUUAAUCUUAACUUCUGAAAUUCCUGAAUUAUUAUACCUACAAGCAAUUGGAUGUAAAAUAUAUCCACAGUACUCCUUGACUAAAGUUGGAAAAAGGUCAUCUGAAAUUUUAGAAGUUUGAAAUCUUUAUGUACAAUCCCAAGUGGUUGUUGUUGUUAUUCAAAUCAUUUCCUUUUGGAUUAGGUUUGUUACAAACUAGUAGUUUAGUUGGGAGAUAGUUUAAUUAUUAUAGAUUCUGAUUCAUUGUGAGCUUCAACUUGGUUUAUUUGUUGGUUUCCAGAGAAUGAGAUAAAUCACUUUAAGCUUGCA